This 122-nucleotide small RNA is filed under the name Cyanobium sp. PCC 7001. RNAcentral's name for it is "Guanidine-I riboswitch aptamer". It matches the Rfam family "Guanidine-I riboswitch aptamer". From Rfam's summary of the family: This family represents a conserved RNA structure found upstream of the ykkC and yxkD genes in Bacillus subtilis and related genes in other bacteria. The function of this family is unclear although it has been suggested that it may function to switch on efflux pumps and detoxification systems in response to harmful environmental molecules. Nelson showed that this riboswitch senses and responds to guanidine and it was renamed Guanidine-I riboswitch. RNAcentral also lists the same sequence under 1 other name. Lineage: Bacteria; Bacillati; Cyanobacteriota; Cyanophyceae; Synechococcales; Prochlorococcaceae. The record is from Rfam by way of RNAcentral.
GCGGACAGGUUCUAGGGUUCCGGCUGCGUUGGUUCCUGAUCUUCAGGGCCCCUCAGCAGCGUCUGGUCCGAGAGAACUACACCGGCGGCGCCGGUGCACGGAGGGACAAAAGCCCGGGAGAC